UCCUUUAAGAUGAAGCCUUCAACUUUCCUUCCUCUUCUUCUUCUCCUACAAAUCUUCUUCUUUACCAACAUUCCCAUUUCUAACUCUCAAGUACCUGCAUUCAACAAAUACAUACUAGCUUCACAAUUCACCAAGUCUCUUUGCAACAAGCCAAUCUUCAACAAAUGUGAUCCUAACUGGAACAAAGAUCUUCCAAAUGAGUUUACCAUACAUGGGUUGUGGGAAAAUGAAUGGGUAGGGACAAAAACGGCUUCCGGGAAACAGUUCUUAUUAUCAGAGGUUUGUGAUCUCUCUCUCUAGUUAACAAAAGUUGUUAGAUUUUCAUUUGGUUGUUGUGUAAGUGGAAGCAUCAAACUUGGCCUGAUGCCCAUGUGAUUUACACACCUGGUGGAAACAAAGAUGGUGAAAGACGAGCAGCGGCAGAUCGUUUCUGGCAAUGGGAGUGGGAUCGUUUCUUGAAUACUUCAAAACUACAUACGAUUUAUUUACUAAUGUUGGAGAUAUACAUGGAUUAUUCAAAGGGGAAGGACUCAUAUAUCCUGGAGGAUACAUUGAAUUACUUUAUGACAGAGCAAGUUUAUCCAUACGGAAUCACUAUGGAACAGACUGGAGAUUGACCUGCAGCAAGGAAAUUGUUAGUCUCAGGCUGUCAAGCUACAGUGAUCAACAGGAUAUCAUGGAUUAAGGUGAUUUUUAUUAUUAUCAAAAGGGUAUGAUGUAUUAAGUUGAUUUUAUUGGAGGGGUUGGGCUUGGAACUAGAGAAAUUUGAAAUUUCUCAAUUAUUUAAUACUACUUAUUUCCAUCGUUGUUAUUGUUUCUCUGUCUCUAUUUUAUUCUCUCUAUCUCUUAUUUGGUUUGCCCCAAAUUGAAAACCCUAAAACCCUAUCCAUUUCAUCAGUCUAAUCGAAGAGAUUUCUAGUGUGUUUUAUGUAUAAAAAGAGUGACAGAUUUCGGUGUGUUUUCUGAGAUUUUUCAAGGUCUGGAUCAUCAAGAUUUAUUGUCUAGGGAGGGUUGAAUUGGAUUUGGAAUUUUGUUGGUUAUGUUGAUGAUGAGGAGGAUUGAUUGUAUGUUCCUUAUUACAAUUCAUCAUCAUCCUUAUGCAUUUCGUUAUGUUGGGUUGUAAUUUCACCACUGGUGUAUAUGGCCUUGAAACCAAACACACAAACUAUUCAUCAGUUGGAAUGGAAGCACGGAAGCGUUUUGACAAGGCUAACCUUCUUUAUGAUCAGGCUCACGAGAAGUUUUUGUCCCUGAAAAGGUAAAAGGAAGGAUGUAGCUACUGUGGUGGAGGAGGUAUUGCCUGACUCUGAUUUGCCUAAGAAUGCAAAGAAUUCAUCCCCCUGUUGUUUAAUUGUUAGGUGACUAUCGUAGUCCGAAUUACUUUCUAAUCUAGUUCAAACAAAUUUGAGGAACUCCACAAUGCAAGAUCUACCUUUGAGCAAGCACACUUCAAUUUGGUAUUUAGAACACUCAUGACCAUUUUUUCUAUCUGAAACAUCUUUCUUGAGAUGUCAGGUUCAGAUCUGUUAUGGGUCUGUGCAGGUCACUGCUCUUUCUAACGUGAAAGCUAAAAGGAGGUUUGAAUUUGUUAGUUGGACAAUGGAUGCUCUUUCUAGAUCAUUGUUUGCAUAUGUCCUUAUAUAUAUGCCACUACUGAUUUUAUAUCUCUGAUUGGGCUGCAGGGUUAUGAUCUAUCGCGUCAGAUGGAGUCAUAUACCAACCGGGUAUGCUUACUUAGCAAGCUUGCUUUGUAAAAAGUUGUGGUCAUUUUCCUUGCUUAUGAGUUACUAUCAGCAUGUACAAUCAUAGAUACAUAACUGGGAAACAAUAUUAGUCGAUUCAGUGAUAGUUAUAAACUUCGCACCUAACUAAAUCAAACUUCCUUAUUCUUGGAGGGUAUCAUAUCUUUGUUUCCUAGGGACAUAUUCCUCCGUUAUCUCAUUUUUGUAGUUAUAAACUUUUAUUGUCUCCGGUGUACCCCGUGAAAACCUCAUCCAUUUGAUGACUGUGGGAAUGGAUUGAUGGAAAUUUGAGUUAAAUUUAAUUUUCAGACCUUGAUAGCAGACCCAGAAUAGCGUUGUUUUCUUUUUAUAAAUGAGAACCCUUGAAGUUCCUGGAAUUAGUUUGAGAGACAACUGGACUGCCAUUUCUGAAGGUCUUGGUGCAGAACCAACUAUGCGCAGGCAGCUCUUACUGAAAGGAUGCAGGAAUAUAAAGUACAGGUAUAUCAAGAAAGUAGGUGAUCUGCAAAUGGUGAUCAAGAAACUAUUUCCGUGUGUUUUUCUUUCUAAAAUAUGACCUUGGGCAGUCAAUUUCUCAGAGAUUACAAUAAUGUGGUCUACCUGUAUUUUGGUCCAUGGUGGAUCUAAAACGUGCUGAAAUUUGUUUGAUAAGUAUUUUCAGGCGAAAUUGAUUUACAUUCUGUGGGAUGGAUAUGUUUCCUCCUGACAGUCUGCAAGAUGGUAAUUUCUUGGGGCGGUAAUGUAUACAGGCUCUUUGAAUACCUGAAACUUUAGAAAGUGCAAGAUAUUCUUUCUUUUGACUGGUGUCCGUGCCA
Long non-coding RNA from Papaver somniferum (opium poppy), 2557 nucleotides. RefSeq lists it as uncharacterized. The transcript is spliced from 3 exons. NCBI's taxonomy places the organism in Eukaryota, Viridiplantae, Streptophyta, Magnoliopsida, Ranunculales, Papaveraceae. The record is from RefSeq and is a predicted model, not a curated record.